Molecule: long non-coding RNA, 286 nt
Filed under: Fukomys damarensis (Damara mole-rat)
Lineage: Eukaryota; Metazoa; Chordata; Mammalia; Rodentia; Bathyergidae
Description: lncRNA (ENSFDAG00000029670.1)
Source: RNAcentral
UGGAGACACAAGGUAAAAACGGAGAGCUACGAACCUGAGCAAAUGGUAUGUACACCUCCAAAACAGUGAGAGGCCAAAAGGAGGACUACACAUUUUUAUGGGACAGGAAAGAAGGAGAAAUAACAUCAGGUAAGGGAGUCUCACGGAGUUCCCCAAGCCUUUAGUUCGUCAUUUCCAAUUAAUAUCAUGGCCUGCAAGUAACAACUCUUGGCAGAGUACUGAUCUGACUGUUGUUAAAUGAAGCCUUCAUUGACUGUCACCUACUCAAGUGUGAUGAAAUUAAAAC